Molecule: long non-coding RNA, 838 nt
Organism: Mesocricetus auratus (golden hamster)
Lineage: Eukaryota; Metazoa; Chordata; Mammalia; Rodentia; Cricetidae
Exons: 3
Source: RefSeq, a predicted model, not a curated record
CCCAAUGUAGAAAGACAUGAAAACAACUUGGCUGGAAAAUUCAGUUGUGCCAUGGUGUCAAAAUCACUUGAUGAAUAAACUUUACCCUCUUGUUGUAAAUAAAAGGACCCAGAGAAAACUAGAAAGCAGAAUACCAGUGUUGCACAUUUGGGGUUCAGUUUCUUCCACAAGAAGUCACAGAAGUCAGCAGGAAUCAGCCAGAUGUCAAAGGAGGGCCUGAUUUUGCAGGUUUCCAACUGGAUUUGAUGACAACUUUCCUUCUUCAAUGCAGUGAAUAAACAAGAUUCUUGCAUGUCACAUGACAAAUGUGACUAUUUGUGUAAUAAUAUGCUAUGCCUGUUAUACAAUAUUUUAGUUAUUGCCAAGUCACAAUCAGCAUCCUGUAAAGCCUACUAGGGUGGCUCACUUAAAAUUGAGACAGUCAAUGGGACCGAUACGUCAACCCUCAACAUCUUUGGGAAGCUUUGACGUACAGGAAAAUGGAAGGUAUCUCUGUUUCACUCGAUAACUACUCAAGGAAUUGUGUAGAGGCCAAGUGUGAAAUGUUCAGUUGUCUAAAACCUAUCAUUGAAUUGUUACAUUGUGUGUUCAGUUAAAAAAAUGAAUGUUGUCAACUCCAAACUACAAAUUUUUGCUUGUAUUUCAUGAUAAAAAAUUUUGUGGGUUUCUAGCGAAAGUCAUCAGAGUCCUAGAAGGUGCGUUUCACACUCUGGAUCCCCCCAAAAUAUUAACCUUACUGUGGGCUUUUGUCAUAUCUUAGACAGUAGUUAUGUAAAACUAUUAUUUCCAUUUGUCCUUAGGAUUGGGAAUUACAAUUAAAGAUUCAGUAUUUAUACAA